Molecule: non-coding RNA, 172 nt
Organism: Pantoea stewartii subsp. stewartii DC283
Lineage: Bacteria; Pseudomonadati; Pseudomonadota; Gammaproteobacteria; Enterobacterales; Erwiniaceae
Source: Rfam
AUUAGGGUGACCGAGUGUGGGGAGGAAGCGUGGAGCAUAAAUCGUGAGCCGAUGGACAAGAACCGGAUACAAGGCGCUGUUAAGCAGGGUGAGCGGGCACGUCUCCGCGAAGCUCUCGUGAUCAAGGCGAGGCAGCGUAAAUUCGGCGGUUGUACGAUGAAGGAGUGCGUUC